GGAGGGGUUCCCGAGCGGCCAAAGGGAUCAGACUGUAAAUCUGACGUCUACGACUUCGAAGGUUUCGAAUCCUUCCCCCUCCACCA
This 86-nucleotide transfer RNA is filed under the name Pseudomonas sp. MD195_PC81_125. Its description in RNAcentral is "tRNA-Tyr". It matches the Rfam family "tRNA". From Rfam's summary of the family: Transfer RNA (tRNA) molecules are approximately 80 nucleotides in length. RNAcentral also lists the same sequence under 1 other name. Lineage: Bacteria; Pseudomonadati; Pseudomonadota; Gammaproteobacteria; Pseudomonadales; Pseudomonadaceae. The record is from RNAcentral.